Molecule: ribosomal RNA, 427 nt
Filed under: uncultured bacterium
Lineage: Bacteria
Description: partial 16S ribosomal RNA
Rfam family: Bacterial small subunit ribosomal RNA
Source: RNAcentral
UGGGGAAUAUUGGACAAUGGGCGAAAGCCUGAUCCAGCCAUGCCGCGUGUGUGAAGAAGGUCUUCGGAUUGUAAAGCACUUUAAGUUGGGAGGAAGGGCAUUAACCUAAUACGUUAGUGUUUUGACGUUACCGACAGAAUAAGCACCGGCUAACUCUGUGCCAGCAGCCGCGGUAAUACAGAGGGUGCAAGCGUUAAUCGGAAUUACUGGGCGUAAAGCGCGCGUAGGUGGUUUGUUAAGUUGGAUGUGAAAUCCCCGGGCUCAGCCUGGGAACUGCAUUCAAAACUGACUGACUAGAGUAUGGUAGAGGGUGGUGGAAUUUCCUGUGUAGCGGUGAAAUGCGUAGAUAUAGGAAGGAACACCAGUGGCGAAGGCGACCACCUGGACUAAUACUGACACUGAGGUGCGAAAGCGUGGGGAGCAAACA